Molecule: non-coding RNA, 30 nt
Filed under: Mus musculus (house mouse)
Lineage: Eukaryota; Metazoa; Chordata; Mammalia; Rodentia; Muridae
Source: RNAcentral
UNCAUUCCCUAGUCAGACAUUGGCCUUUAC